CCUACGGGUGGCUGCAGUGGGGAAUAUUGGGCAAUGGGCGCAAGCCUGACCCAGCAACGCCGCGUGAAGGAAGAAGGCUUUCGGGUUGUACACUUCUUUUCUCAGGGACGAAGAAAGUGACGGUACCCGAGGAAUAAGCCACGGCUAACUACGUGCCAGCAGCCGCGGUAAUACGUAGGUGGCAAGCGUUAUCCGGAUGUAUUGGGUGUAAAGGGUGUGUAGGCGGGAGCGCAAGUAAGAUGUGAAAUCACAGGGCUCAACCCAGAGCCUGCAUUGGAAAAUGUGUUUCUUGAGGGCUGGAGAGGCAAUCGGAAUUCCGUGUGUAGCGGUGAAAUGCGUAGAUAUAAGGAGGAACACCAGUGGCGAAGGCGGAUUGCUGGACAGUAACUGACGCUGAGGCGCGAAAGCGUGGGGAGCAAACAGGAUUAGAUACCCGAGUAGUC
This 443-nucleotide ribosomal RNA is filed under the name uncultured bacterium. RNAcentral describes it as "partial 16S ribosomal RNA". It matches the Rfam family "Bacterial small subunit ribosomal RNA", at positions 338 to 795 of the family's 1533-position model. The record is from RNAcentral.